GUUAGUUAGUUUAGGUAUACAAAAUAUUUGAUUCAUAACGUGGCAAAAAGUGUCACUAGACUUGAUUUUGUUUCCAUCACCACCAUAAAAUGACUUAUGCAGAAACGUAAAAUAGUGUUUUUUAUAGCAAAAUAAAAAAAUGUAUUGGUAACUCACACUGCACAUUUCUGCUGUUGUCACAGCAUACCAAUUGAGGAAUGACCCUAUCAUAAGGCAAGUAAGUGGCAAAGGAGCACAUAUGUAUGGCUCCAGAUGAGAAAGUGAUUUUCUCGUGUUUGAUACAUCUAUUUUUGGAUUCUGAUAUAUUUUGAUAAUGGACUAUCAAAAUCGGCAAGUUUUCGGGAUUCACGUCACGUAUCUUGUCUGUCAGCCUUCCGCUACUGUAAUUUAUGCCUGAGGCAGUGACUCAGCAUUUUUGUCAGUAGUGAAUAAAAUUGCCCGUUAAAAGUUAAAAACCACCUGCUGUUUGACAAGGUGACCUUGGUGGCAUUCAACAUGAGAAGACCCUCAAACAAGCGUCACCCGGCACCGUAUCAUUCAACAUGGAAAGUGUGAAAUUUAUUUUGGCGUUCGCUCUCGUGAUUAUUGAGGUUUUGUUGUCUACUGGAUACGAAAACCGGAGAUUUUCACGUCAGAUACCCGCAAACGAGGGUAGAGGUCGCAGUAUUUCCCCUGCAGUAGACCAACUCUCACCUGGAUUUUAUCGUCGGAGUUAUAAAUCAAGUUGUCGAUGUGAGAAAAUUUCGAACUGUCCAGUACUUCAAAUAUCUAUUCCUCGAUGCCCCUCUGAGCAAUUUCUUUGUUGCUUUCCAAAAACAUUGCAAUAAUAAGUCGUGACCUAUGGCGGUGCAGUGUUUCUGUUUAGCAUUCUUCAUUAUCGACAUUUACAUAAAUGUGUAGGAUGUGUAAUGUGUAUAUUAUUGGUUAGGACUGGAGUGUGUGAUAUAUUGAUUAACAAUGUGAUUGUUUAUUUUGUUUUGUUUCUGCAUUAAUUAAAAUGGGUUAGAUGUUUAGAGUUUGUAUAACAAAAUAUUUCGAAUCUUUAACAUUUUAGUGAUAUGUUUAAGCAACGCACAUAUACGAAACAAAUUUUGUCUGCAGAAAUAAUUACGGAAGAGUUUUAUGUGCGUGUAUCGUGCCAGUGUAUCGAUGUUGAUGAAAUAAAACUUGCCUCCAUAAUUUAA
This is a non-coding RNA of Zootermopsis nevadensis, 1184 nucleotides long. NCBI's taxonomy places the organism in Eukaryota, Metazoa, Arthropoda, Insecta, Blattodea, Termopsidae. The record is from RefSeq and is a predicted model, not a curated record.